UACGAACCGUCCUAACGUUAUUCGGAAUUAUUGGGCUUAAAGGGUGCGUAGGCGGCCCGGGAAGUUGGGUGUGAAAUCCCUCGGCUCAACCGAGGAAUUGCGCCCAAAACUGCCGGGCUCGAGGGAGAUAGAGGUGAGUGGAACUUAGGGUGGAGCGGUGAAAUGCGUUGAUAUCCUAAGGAACACCGGUGGCGAAAGCGACUCACUGGGUCUCUUCUGACGCUGAGGCACGAAAGCUAGGGUAG
RNAcentral lists this ribosomal RNA (245 nucleotides) under uncultured bacterium. Its description in RNAcentral is "partial 16S ribosomal RNA". It matches the Rfam family "Bacterial small subunit ribosomal RNA", at positions 524 to 768 of the family's 1533-position model. The record is from RNAcentral.